UACAGAGGUGGCAAGCGUUGUUCGGAAUUACUGGGCGUAAAGGGCGCGUAGGCGGCCAUCUAAGUCAGACGUGAAAUCCCCCGGCUUAACCUGGGAACUGCGUCUGAUACUGGACGGCUAGAGUAUGGGAGAGGGAUGUAGAAUUCCAGGUGUAGCGGUGAAAUGCGUAGAUAUCUGGAGGAAUACCGAUGGCGAAGGCAGCCUCCUGGGAUAACACUGACGCUCAGGCACGAAAGCGUGGGGAGCAAACAGG
Molecule: ribosomal RNA, 253 nt
Filed under: uncultured bacterium
Lineage: Bacteria
Description: partial 16S ribosomal RNA
Rfam family: Bacterial small subunit ribosomal RNA
Source: RNAcentral